Non-coding RNA from Mycena rebaudengoi, 98 nucleotides. The record is from the annotation of a GenBank genome assembly. NCBI's taxonomy places the organism in Eukaryota, Fungi, Basidiomycota, Agaricomycetes, Agaricales, Mycenaceae.
GGCAGGAAGGCGCAGGGUGCGCGUCGGCUUCUCAUAAACCUCCGUGACGUCAAUAUAUAAGCCAAAGGUCCCUCCCUGUUCGACUCGGGGUCCUGCCA